GCCCGGUUAGCUCAAUCGGUAGAGCGUGAGACUCUUAGCACGAGUACGCGAUCUCAAGGUUGCGGGUUCGACCCCCGCAUCGGGCU
This 86-nucleotide transfer RNA is filed under the name Fusarium cf. solani. Its description in RNAcentral is "tRNA-Lys". It matches the Rfam family "tRNA". From Rfam's summary of the family: Transfer RNA (tRNA) molecules are approximately 80 nucleotides in length. RNAcentral also lists the same sequence under 2 other names. Lineage: Eukaryota; Fungi; Ascomycota; Sordariomycetes; Hypocreales; Nectriaceae. The record is from RNAcentral.